AUUGAACGCUGGCGGCAUGCUUUACACAUGCAAGUCGAACGGCAGCACGGGGCAACCUGGUGGCGAGUGGCGAACGGGUGAGUAAUACAUCGGAACGUGCCCAAUCGUGGGGGGAUAACGUAGCGAAAGUUACGCUAAUACCGCAUACGAUCUACGGAUGAAAGCGGGGGAUCGCAAGACCUCGCGCGAUUGGAGCGGCCGAUGUCGGAUUAGCUAGUAGGUGGGGUAAAGGCCCACCUAGGCGACGAUCCGUAGCGGGUCUGAGAGGAUGAUCCGCCACACUGGGACUGAGACACGGCCCAGACUCCUACGGGAGGCAGCAGUGGGGAAUUUUGGACAAUGGGCGCAAGCCUGAUCCAGCCAUGCCGCGUGAGUGAAGAAGGCCUCGG
Molecule: ribosomal RNA, 389 nt
Filed under: uncultured bacterium
Lineage: Bacteria
Description: bacterial SSU rRNA
Rfam family: Bacterial small subunit ribosomal RNA
Source: RNAcentral